RNAcentral lists this unclassified non-coding RNA (358 nucleotides) under uncultured Pezizaceae. RNAcentral's name for it is "sequence contains ITS1". The stretch from base 1 to 105 matches the Rfam family "5.8S ribosomal RNA", at positions 50 to 154 of the family's 154-position model. Lineage: Eukaryota; Fungi; Ascomycota; Pezizomycetes; Pezizales; Pezizaceae. The record is from RNAcentral.
GAAAUGCGAUACUUAAUGUGAAUUGCAGAAUUCCGUGAAUCAUCGAGUCUUUGAACGCAUAUUGCGCCCGAGGCUUCGGUCAAGGGCAUGUCUGCCUCAGCGUCGGUUGACCCCUCUCGUCCACUUCCCUCGUGGAAGCAGACGGACCUGGCAGUCCCGCUGGCGACAGCGGGUCUGCUGCAGAACAGACGACGAGCCAGCCGCAGCGCCGCUCGAUUGGUAGGUUUUCUCCGGAAGACAUGCCGUCGAGUAGCCUGGGGACCAACUGCUCGUCCUACCAACGACGGGGGAGCGCGCAAGCCAUCCCCCUGACUCUCAUUUCGACCUGAGUUCAGGCAAGACCACCCGCUCAACUUAA